UAGAGUUUGAUCCUGGCUCAGAAUCAACGCUGGCGGCGUGCCUAACACAUGCAAGUCGAGCGAGAAAAGGGGAGCAAUCCCCUGAGUACAGCGGCGCACGGGUGAGUAACACGUGGGUAAUCUGCCCUGGAGUGGGGAAUAACACCGGGAAACCGGUGCUAAUACCGCAUACGAUCAUAAGAUCUGCGGAUUUUGUGAUGAAAGGAGCAAUUCGCUCUAGGAGGAGCCCGCGGCUGAUUAGCUAGUUGGUGAGGUAAUGGCUCACCAAGGCAACGAUCAGUAUCCGGUCUGAGAGGACGGUCGGACACACUGGAACUGAGACACGGUCCAGACUCCUACGGGAGGCAGCAGUGGGGAAUUUUUGGCAAUGGGGGCAACCCUGACCAAGCAACGCCGCGUG
RNAcentral lists this ribosomal RNA (400 nucleotides) under uncultured Acidobacterium sp. RNAcentral describes it as "bacterial SSU rRNA". It matches the Rfam family "Bacterial small subunit ribosomal RNA", at positions 1 to 403 of the family's 1533-position model. Lineage: Bacteria; Pseudomonadati; Acidobacteriota; Terriglobia; Terriglobales; Acidobacteriaceae. The record is from RNAcentral.